This 253-nucleotide ribosomal RNA is filed under the name uncultured bacterium. Its description in RNAcentral is "partial 16S ribosomal RNA". It matches the Rfam family "Bacterial small subunit ribosomal RNA", at positions 524 to 776 of the family's 1533-position model. The record is from RNAcentral.
UACGAAGGGUGCUAGCGUUGCUCGGAAUUACUGGGCGUAAAGCGCACGUAGGCGGCUCGUUAAGUCGGGGGUGAAAUCCUGGAGCUCAACUCCAGAACUGCCUUCGAUACUGGCAAUCUCGAGUCCGGGAGAGGUGAGUGGAACUCCGAGUGUAGAGGUGAAAUUCGUAGAUAUUCGGAAGAACACCAGUGGCGAAGGCGGCUCACUGGCCCGGUACUGACGCUGAGGUGCGAAAGCGUGGGGAGCAAACAGG